GGGGUUAUAGUUUAACUUAAACCAUAAAGCUGUUAACUUUAAGAUGCUACUCAGGUGGCUUACCCCU
RNAcentral lists this transfer RNA (67 nucleotides) under Gyrodactylus brachymystacis. RNAcentral describes it as "tRNA-Asn". It matches the Rfam family "tRNA". Rfam says of the family: Transfer RNA (tRNA) molecules are approximately 80 nucleotides in length. Their secondary structure includes four short double-helical elements and three loops (D, anti-codon, and T loops). Further hydrogen bonds mediate the characteristic L-shaped molecular structure. tRNAs have two regions of fundamental functional importance: the anti-codon, which is responsible for specific mRNA codon recognition, and the 3' end, to which the tRNAs corresponding amino acid is attached (by aminoacyl-tRNA synthetases). tRNAs cope with the degeneracy of the genetic code in two manners: having more than one tRNA (with a specific anti-codon) for a particular amino acid; and 'wobble' base-pairing, i.e. permitting non-standard base-pairing at the 3rd anti-codon position. The record is from RNAcentral. Lineage: Eukaryota; Metazoa; Platyhelminthes; Monogenea; Gyrodactylidea; Gyrodactylidae.